Molecule: long non-coding RNA, 1114 nt
Organism: Dermacentor andersoni
Lineage: Eukaryota; Metazoa; Arthropoda; Arachnida; Ixodida; Ixodidae
Source: RefSeq, a predicted model, not a curated record
AUGUCGUCCGAUCCGGCUUAAACUGAACGCUCGCCGACGGGUGCGGAAGAAGCGGCUUGCCUCGUUUCGCGGGGGCCAUCAAAGAAAAUCGUGAAGCUCACAGGCGCCCGGAAACUCGCCGACCUCCACGAAAGCCUGCGGACGGGAGGGUUCGUGUACCUGAUGACAGGCAACGAUCUUCUAAUACAGAUCUUCCAACGACCGGUUGCAGUGCUACGUCGACAUGGGUGAAAGCACGACGGUGUGUGAUGGAGCAUUGAUUAACUUGGUUGUCUCCCCAAGCCACUCCGAAGCAUCAGAGGCACAAAAAAAGCCGCUGUCUGGUAGUGCGGUUGGACAUGCGGAGAAUGCAGUCAAAGGACAGUACAAGGAAUUGUCAACGUACACACUGCCUCUGAUGCCCAUUGACGUUGCUGCACACCUCUGAAAUAUUACAGCAGGAGGCGUGCCUGACAAUCUUCAAAAGAAAAUUGAAUGGAUUGCCUACAAUUCGUCAUCUCAGACAAUGUACCCAAAUAAAUUGUGCAAUGUUGCUGCAAGGAGCCUCGUAAACCAGUACCCAGCACUGAGGGACACAUUGCACCUUGGCCAUUUCUCAUGGUAUAUGUGCCUAAGAAACAAGUACAAAUACAUGCGAAAGUGAAUGCCACCAGGAUGCCCUGAAGUCGAUGCAGAAGUGAAAGCAAGAAAGGCAAGCGAAAUUGUGACACAUGCUCAAAAUCUGGAUUUUGAAGACGGGUGAUCAGCUGCAAGUUUGCAUGCAUAUUUCACUAGAUAAACUGACUCUCCUUUCUUUGUUAUGUGGCUUAGUUGAAACAUUUAGUUGCUUCUCUUGAUGUACUUGUUCGUUUCAUUUACAUUUUUUCUUUAAAAAAUGCAAACAUGCAAUCCAGCUAUAGCAACUAUAUCUGCAAUGCUGUCACCAGAGAUAUUGUAGGUGAUCAAAGAACCAAAAUAUCAUAUCGCAUCGCCACCUUGAACCUAGAGUGAAACAUUAGUUCAAGAUGUAGUGGUAGGUGCAUUUAUAGACUAGUAAUACAGCAUUCAUACUGUAAUGUAUAUUGAUAUACAUGCUAAGAUGUAGCAAAAAGUGUGUGGCUAUGCUGCUCUGACA